RNAcentral lists this ribosomal RNA (462 nucleotides) under uncultured bacterium. RNAcentral's name for it is "partial 16S ribosomal RNA". It matches the Rfam family "Bacterial small subunit ribosomal RNA", at positions 28 to 507 of the family's 1533-position model. The record is from RNAcentral.
GACGAACGCUGGCGGCGUGCUUAACACAUGCAAGUCGAGCGGUAAGGCCUUUCGGGGUACACGAGCGGCGAACGGGUGAGUAACACGUGGGUGAUCUUCCCUGCACUUCGGGAUAAGCCUGGGAAACUGGGUCUAAUACCGGAUAUGACCUCCUAUCGCAUGGUGGGUGGUGGAAAGAUUUAUCGGUGCAGGAUGGGCCCGCGGCCUAUCAGCUUGUUGGUGGGGUAAUGGCCUACCAAGGCGACGACGGGUAGCCGACCUGAGAGGGUGACCGGCCACACUGGGACUGAGACACGGCCCAGACUCCUACGGGAGGCAGCAGUGGGGAAUAUUGCACAAUGGGCGGAAGCCUGAUGCAGCGACGCCGCGUGAGGGAUGACGGCCUUCGGGUUGUAAACCUCUUUCAGCAGGGACGAAGCGCAAGUGACGGUACCUGCAGAAGAAGCACCGGCUAACUACGUG